Molecule: ribosomal RNA, 443 nt
Filed under: uncultured bacterium
Lineage: Bacteria
Description: partial 16S ribosomal RNA
Rfam family: Bacterial small subunit ribosomal RNA
Source: RNAcentral
CCUACGGGUGGCAGCAGUGGGGAAUAUUGCGCAAUGGGGGCAACCCUGACGCAGCAACGCCGCGUGAUUGAAGAAGGCCUUCGGGUUGUAAAGAUCUUUAAUUCGGGACGAAAACAAUGACGGGACCCAAAGAAUAAGCUCCGGCUAACUACGUGCCAGCAGCGGCGGCAAUACGUCGGGAGCAAGCGUUAUCCGGAUUUACUCGGUGUAAAGGGUUGGUAGGGGGGCUGGCAAGUUGGGAGGGAAAUCCCGGGGCUUAACCCCGGAACUGCGUUCAAAACUGCUGGUCUUGAGUGAUGGAGAGGCAGGCGGAAUGCCGUGUGUAGCGGUGAAAUGCGUAGAUAUACGGAGGAACACCAGUGGCGAAGGCAGCCUGCUGGACAUUAACUGACGCUGAGGAGCGAAAGCGUGGGGAGCAAACAGGAUUAGAUACCCCUGUAGUC